GUCCCCACCGUGGCUCUUGGUGUCUCCUCUACCAGAAUCCUGCUGCCAGUUCUCAGUGGAGGUGUCCCUCCUCCCCCAACCCAGUGAGGCCGUCAGCCUGAGAGUUGCAAGAAGUUGGCUGUUAGGAGGCUCUCACCAGUGGUGUCCCUGCCAGGAAGCUCAUGGGUUAGCACGUGCAUGAGGCCAUUUGCUGAUGUCACAAUCACUGGGUCCUUGCAGUGUCUCACCACGCUGUGGAGCUGGCAGGUGAAGCCUGGAGUGGUUAGCAGUUCCCACACGUUUCCUCUCGGACCCGCUUCCCCUGCGACUGUAGACCCGCAGGAGCCCAGGACCUCCGGGCUGAAGGAACUGACCGGGCUCACGGGAUGCAGUGGAUGAGAACAAAACUCUGCUCCUGUCGCAGCUUUCAGAACCGCGCCUGCUCACGUCUCAGUCCCGCCUUCACGCUCUGACCUCCCUGGAGGUUCUGAGCCUUCCUCCUCUGAAAAGAGUUCUCAAGGUUGCCGGGCGACCCACGCGCUGGCGUCGGAAGGAGGCUGCUGGGGACUUGCGGCUCUGCUUGGGUUUUGGUCGCUCAUUCCUGCUGCUCUUGCAGCCCACGCCUCCCCUGCGCCCCCUUGUGGUGGGAGGCACUCUGCAGCUCUGAGCUCUGAGCUCAACCGUUCACUGCUCCAGGGGUGCCAUCUGCAAUCAGCCGUGGAGGGAGGGGCUGCUCCUUGGUUUUCUUCUACUUCCUAGCUCAGGGAGACAGGUAAUCUUGCUGAGAGCCUCGUUGGGGAGCGCCACCUUGCUCACAGGCAUUUUGAUCUGUGGUUCAGGGUUUGUCUUGCGUAUUGCAUAUUCAGCCUGGAGAGUGCAAGUUCAAUGGCAUUCCUUUGAGUGUUAGGGCUUCCCUAACACUUGGCAUGAACUGUUAGUAACUUCCUUUUGUGAACAUUUAGUCCAUCAGUGGAGCACACACUCCCUGCUAAGUCAGGGAGUGCCCGGGGUGUGCUGGCCCCUUCAGGAAAUGUAGGAAUAGAAGCCCUUUGUCCAUUUCCACAUUUGUCUUCACAGAGUAUUUUUUCAAACCUAAAAUUGGAGUACUUGGUGGGGCAUUCAUGGUCCUUUGCUUUGAAGUAAAAGAAUAACCAACUAAAUUUGUUUUAGCAGGAAAAAGUGAUUUGUUGUUGUUGUUGACUUAUUUGGAGUCAAGGGCUUGGAGGGUUUGGGGCACAACUGGGUCUCAGAACUCAGUGUUCUGAAGCCCCAGUCUCUCCUUUGCUGUCUUGGCGUCAGUCUCAGGUUCCAUGUGGUGACACAGUGAUGGCAGCAGGGUCACACUGUGUCCUUCUUCAGGUGUAAACCCAGAUGUGAAGACAGCUGUCUCUUUCCCAGA
This 1378-nucleotide long non-coding RNA is filed under the name Oryctolagus cuniculus (rabbit). RNAcentral's name for it is "lncRNA (ENSOCUG00000037953.1)". Lineage: Eukaryota; Metazoa; Chordata; Mammalia; Lagomorpha; Leporidae. The record is from RNAcentral.